This 68-nucleotide transfer RNA is filed under the name Amphibalanus reticulatus. RNAcentral's name for it is "tRNA-Gln". Lineage: Eukaryota; Metazoa; Arthropoda; Thecostraca; Balanomorpha; Balanidae. The record is from RNAcentral.
UAAUGAUUAGUUUAUAGGAACAUUGCAAUUUGACUGCAAAAGAAGUAGUGUAAUUCUACUAUUAUUAA